GAGAGAGAGUUCGGCUCUAUCGACCGAACGACGGCGAAUGAAAGCAUCGACGUGCAAAAUACUACUUACGUAUACACACAUAUACACAUACGUACAACUAUGCAUAGUCACUAUCGGAACUAACACUUCUUACUAGUACUGCGCUUUACUAGUAUUUACUUCUACUACUAUGACUUCUCCUCCUACAACUAUGAUCGUUUCCAAUGAACGAGAAGAAGUGCGGAGUACGGCAUUAGAAGAUUUAUCCUUUUGCGAUUCUUCUUCGAGAAAAUAGACAAGCUUAUGAUUUCUUACAUGCGAAACUCUUUUUCUCUCGAUGAAAGACUUUCAUCUCUACGACGUCUGAAUGCUCAUAAGGCCACACACCAGAUACUUCGUCCUUCGGGAAAUUCGAUAAAAAGACGCUUGACCUCGAAAAGACUACUCACAAUCGAGCCGAUAGGUCGAACGGUGACAAACGAUUAUUCUUUUACCCUUUCGAUACAAUUUUACUCGGUUCAAUGUGAAAAGCGUAUAAUUUCUUUAGUACCAAUGUGAUACAGGACUGAAAUAGCGAACAUUUGAGAAUUUCUACGUCGCUUCGAUCAUAAGCUUGGGUGGACCACUCUAUCAAACCGAAAGGGAAAAGAAAAGAGCACUUAUCUGAAAAAGUUACUCGACGACCUUUACCCACGUAUCAUCGGCAAAACUUUGUUCUUUACGGCAGGACGCCCACGUUGUCCGGAAAAUCCAUUUUUUAUUAUCAAGAAUCAUAUUUCGAAACUAUCUGAUACAAGCUUAGGAUGAAAAUUAGAGAUGGAUGAAUAAUUGUUAGUAAUAUGUGCUGCCCUCUGUAAUAAAACAAUCAUAUCGAUUUUUUAAAGAAUUAAAAAUAAUUUGAAUCGUACUAUAUCAAUAAUAAUGUAUAGAAAAUAAUUAUUACAAAAUCAAUAAUAAGCAAUUUCUACACUGUGUAUAUGCGUGCAACGAUUCUUUUAUUUUAACAAUAUAAUAAAAAAAUGAAAUCAA
Long non-coding RNA from Vespula vulgaris, 1008 nucleotides. RefSeq lists it as uncharacterized. NCBI's taxonomy places the organism in Eukaryota, Metazoa, Arthropoda, Insecta, Hymenoptera, Vespidae. The transcript has 2 exons. The record is from RefSeq and is a predicted model, not a curated record.